This 354-nucleotide small RNA is filed under the name Enterobacter ludwigii. RNAcentral's name for it is "cspA thermoregulator". It matches the Rfam family "cspA thermoregulator", at positions 28 to 370 of the family's 428-position model. The record is from RNAcentral. Lineage: Bacteria; Pseudomonadati; Pseudomonadota; Gammaproteobacteria; Enterobacterales; Enterobacteriaceae.
CAUUUUCAGUAAAGAAGUCCUGAGUAAACACGUUGUCGUUGAAUACCGCUUCUCUGCCGAACCUUAUAUUAGUGCCUCAUGCAGUAAUGUCUCAGUUUUAUCUCAGUAAUGCCUGCGGGCUAAGAAAACACUCUAAGGAAUUUUGCAAAUGGCAAAGAUUAAAGGUCAAGUUAAGUGGUUCAACGAGUCUAAAGGUUUUGGUUUCAUUACUCCUGCUGACGGCAGCAAAGACGUGUUCGUACACUUCUCUGCAAUCCAGGGUAACGGCUUCAAAACUCUGGCUGAAGGCCAGAACGUUGAGUUCGAAAUUCAGGACGGCCAGAAAGGCCCAGCUGCAGUUAACGUAACUGCUAU